CCAGAGAACUUAGCAGAGAUGCUUUGGUGCCUUCGGGAACUCUGAGACAGGUGCUGCAUGGCUGUCGUCAGCUCGUGUUGUGAAAUGUUGGGUUAAGUCCCGCAACGAGCGCAACCCUUAUCCUUUGUUGCCAGCGGUCCGGCCGGGAACUCAAAGGAGACUGCCAGUGAUAAACUGGAGGAAGGUGGGGAUGACGUCAAGUCAUCAUGGCCCUUACGAGUAGGGCUACACACGUGCUACAAUGGCGCAUACAAAGAGAAGCGACCUCGCGAGGGCAAGCGGACCUCAUAAAGUGCGUCGUAGUCCGGAUUGGAGUCUGCAACUCGACUCCAUGAAGUCGGAAUCGCUAGUAAUCGUGGAUCAGAAUGCCACGGUGAAUACGUUCCCGGGCCUUGUACACACCGCCCGUCACACCAUGGGAGUGGGUUGCAAAAGAAGUAGGUAGCUUAACCUUCGGGAGGGCGCUUACCACUUUGUGAUUCAUGACUGGGGUGAAGUCGUAACAAGGUAAGCGUAGUGCU
This 521-nucleotide ribosomal RNA is filed under the name uncultured bacterium. Its description in RNAcentral is "bacterial SSU rRNA". It matches the Rfam family "Bacterial small subunit ribosomal RNA", at positions 988 to 1509 of the family's 1533-position model. The record is from RNAcentral.